This 290-nucleotide ribosomal RNA is filed under the name uncultured bacterium. RNAcentral describes it as "partial 16S ribosomal RNA". It matches the Rfam family "Bacterial small subunit ribosomal RNA", at positions 29 to 346 of the family's 1533-position model. The record is from RNAcentral.
AGCGAACGCUGGCGGCAGGCCUAACACAUGCAAGUCGAACGGAUCCGUUCGGGAUUAGUGGCGGACGGGUGAGUAACACGUGGGAACGUGCCCUUUGGUUCGGAACAACUCAGGGAAACUUGAGCUAAUACCGGAUGUGCCCUAGGGGAAAGAUUUAUCGCCAUUGGAGCGGCCCGNGUCUAGAUUAGCUAGUUGGUGAGGUAAAGGCUCACCAAGGCGACGAUCAGUAGCUGGUCUGAGAGGAUGGCCAGCCACAUUGGGACUGAGAGACGACCCAGACUCCUACGGGA